This is a long non-coding RNA of Lathyrus oleraceus (garden pea), 611 nucleotides long. RefSeq lists it as uncharacterized. Lineage: Eukaryota; Viridiplantae; Streptophyta; Magnoliopsida; Fabales; Fabaceae. The transcript is spliced from 3 exons. The record is from RefSeq and is a predicted model, not a curated record.
AUAAGAUAUGCUUUGUUCAAAGCCUUGACCGAGUUCAAAUAGAGAAAACAACUGAACCGAACAUCAAAAUCCAACAAAGCAAAGCUACCAAAAGAAUAAUUAUAUAUCUAAACCAUCAUGUUUAUCAAGCUAUCAUGAAGUGUAUGAACAAAAAGUGAAGAAAGAAAAAAACUGAACUUCACUGGAAAACGAACGUUUCCGGUGAGCGUGGAGAAUGGAAUCUGACCUUGGUAAGCACGUUUUUUCCUUUUUUUUUCUUGAGAAUCCUUUCAUGCUUCCUUCGAGCUCUUUCCUUUCUUUUAUGGUGGUUUCUUAUCUGCUAGGAACUAUCACGCUUGUGGAGUGACGUGAUUUAGCUCGAAGCACACUCAGAUUCUGAUGAUGAAUCUGAGUGGUUCAGUCAAGAGAUUUUGGGUGGUGUGGAUCAUGAGCUGGCAGAGGUGAAACGGAUCAUUCAGUUAGAGGAGAAUUUUUCCUCAGAUUUUGUGGGGACCAGAGCGAUUGUGACAUGUGGAGGUUUAGGAAGAAAAAGAACUCUUAGUUUUGCAAGGCUAUGGUAUAUUAUUAUGGAAGUUCAUGCUGCUCUGUUGUGAAGCUCUGAGUUAAAAUAG